CCUACGGGGUGCAGCAGUGGGGAAUAUUGGACAAUGGGCGAAAGCCUGAUCCAGCCAUGCCGCGUGUGUGAAGAAGGCCUUCGGGUUGUAAAGCACUUUCAGUGGGGAAGAAAGCCUUGGGGCUAAUACCCUCGAGGAAGGACAUCACCCACAGAAGAAGCACCGGCUAACUCCGUGCCAGCAGCCGCGGUAAUACGGAGGGUGCGAGCGUUAAUCGGAAUUACUGGGCGUAAAGCGCGCGUAGGCGGUCUGAUAAGCUGGUUGUGAAAGCCCCGGGCUCAACCUGGGAACGGCAUCCGGAACUGCCAGGCUAGAGUGCAGGAGAGGAAGGUAGAAUUCCCGGUGUAGCGGUGAAAUGCGUAGAGAUCGGGAGGAAUACCAGUGGCGAAGGCGGCCUUCUGGACUGACACUGACGCUGAGGUGCGAAAGCGUGGGUAGCAAACAGGAUUAGAUACCCGAGUAGUC
This 465-nucleotide ribosomal RNA is filed under the name Vreelandella stevensii. RNAcentral describes it as "partial 16S ribosomal RNA". It matches the Rfam family "Bacterial small subunit ribosomal RNA", at positions 338 to 795 of the family's 1533-position model. The record is from RNAcentral. Lineage: Bacteria; Pseudomonadati; Pseudomonadota; Gammaproteobacteria; Oceanospirillales; Halomonadaceae.